UACGGAGGGUGCAAGCGUUACCCGGAAUCACUGGGCGUAAGGCGCGCGCAGGCGGCCCCGCAGGUCGGUUGUGAAAGCCCCCGGCUCAACCGGGUGGAGGCGAGCGAAACCGCGGGGCUGGAGGCUGGCAGAGGGUGGUGGAAUUCCCGGUGUAGUGGUGAAAUGCGUAGAGAUCGGGAGGAACACCCGCGGCGAAGGCGGCCACCUGGACCAGACCUGACGCUGAGGCGCGAAGGCCGGGGGAGCGAACGGG
RNAcentral lists this ribosomal RNA (253 nucleotides) under uncultured bacterium. RNAcentral's name for it is "partial 16S ribosomal RNA". It matches the Rfam family "Bacterial small subunit ribosomal RNA", at positions 524 to 776 of the family's 1533-position model. The record is from RNAcentral.